This 297-nucleotide ribosomal RNA is filed under the name uncultured bacterium. RNAcentral describes it as "partial 16S ribosomal RNA". It matches the Rfam family "Bacterial small subunit ribosomal RNA", at positions 775 to 1067 of the family's 1533-position model. The record is from RNAcentral.
GGAUUAGAUACCCUGGUAGUCCACGCCCUAAACGAUGAACACUAGUUGUUGGGAGGUUUCGAUCUUUCAGUAACACAGCUAACGCAUUAAGUGUUCCGCCUGGGGAGUACGGUCGCAAGAUUAAAACUCAAAGGAAUAGACGGGGACCCGCACAAGCGGUGGAGCAUGUGGUUUAAUUCGAAGAUACGCGAAGAACCUUACCAAGGCUUGAUAUCCUAAAAAUUUGCUGGAAACAGUGAAGUGCCAGUUUCUGGAAUUUAGUGACAGGUGCUGCACGGCUGUCGUCAGCUCGUGCCG